This is a long non-coding RNA of Oreochromis aureus, 6119 nucleotides long. Lineage: Eukaryota; Metazoa; Chordata; Actinopteri; Cichliformes; Cichlidae. The record is from Ensembl.
CAUUUAUCAGUGUUUACCUUUGUGUUUGUUCAUGUUUAUUGCAGCCGCCCUGUUAACUGAGCGUCAUCAUUUUAAUGCUGUGGUGCUUCAGUACAGACCAAUCAGAUAACACAGUGGUACAGGGAGACUCCUCUGUGUUUAUCUGACAGAAGAACAUCAGCUUCAUCCACCACAGACUCGAGGCUGGACCGCCUGACUUUAACAAGAAUAUGAAGCCUCAGUUAUCCACACCAGCAGGUGGCGCGAACGCACCGGUCUCACGCCCUUUCACCUCCGACAGCGAAGAAGAAGUGGUGGAGUAAAAGAAGAAGAAAGGAGCGCAGAGCUGGAGUUAGCAGGGUGUCAUCGAGCUCUGUUGCCAUGGACGACCAUGCUGACGUUGCCAUGGAGAACAAGACAGAGGUCCCGGCCUCUGACGCACCGUCCUCUCCUGACAAAGAGCAGGCAAAGCCCGCUGCGCGUCAGUCACACCGCCGCACAUUAGGGAGGAGGGGCCAGAGAGCAAAGAGGCGGGGUCUUAUAGAGAAGAAGCGGGGUCAGAAAUCGAAGAGGCGGGGCCAGGAGGACAAGAAGGAGGGCGUGACGGUGAAGAGGACGUGGAGCGGCGGGAAGCGCCGUUGGGACAAGAAGCAUUACUGCGUGUUCUGCCGACGGCCACAGGUGAAGAUCGCACGCCACCUGCUGAGGAAGCAUGCCGACGAACAGGAAGUACUGGCUGCCAGCACCCUGCCGACAGGCUCCAAAGAACGCCACCUGCUGCUGGAGCACCUGCGCUGCCGAGGCAACUAUCUACACAACAUCGAGGUGAUCCGGCAGGGCACUGGUGAGAUUGUGCCAUGGCGUCAGCCCUCUGAGGAUGUGGAUGCGAGGAACUACCUGCCAUGCCCAUUGUGUCUUGGAUUUUUCCUUCGUGCUGACCUGUGGAAGCAUCAGGUGUCGUGUCGCAAGAAGCUCGCUAUUAACCCGUCCAAAGCCGAAGCGAACGCUGACCCCGCCAACGACGCCACCUCUGGUUCCACAAGUAAGUUGCCUUGUGAUGUCACCAGAGAGGACAUGCCUGAGGAUUCCCUUGGUGAGACUGCAGAGACCGGGACCAAACAGCUUAUGACCUCUGACCCAGGUGUUGAUCAAAACACGACCUCUGACCCCGCUGUGAACCGAGCCAGGAAACGGACCAGAGUGCAGGCAGCAGCGUCGCGGCUCCUGCCCAUCUCCAGUGGAGCGUCUGAGAGCUGCAGUGAAAUCCUGCAUCGCAUGAACCAAGAUAAUGUGUCUUACGAGGUGAAGUCUGAUUGGCUGAUCUGUAAGUAUGGCAACAAGCUGAUGGGGAACCAGGAUAGUGGUCAGAGGAGGUACGACUACGUAAGCCAAAAGCUCCGGGAACUUGGCAGGUUGCUCCUGGCCGCUAAAUCCCUUGACUCCGGCAUCCAGAGCCUGCAGGACCUGCUGGCCCCAGGCCGCCUUAGCCUGGCGCUGUCCGCAGCCAGGAAGGCAGCGGGAAACAGGUGGAGCCGCCCUCCACUGGCGGUGAAAACAACACUAAAGACAGUCUGUGAGAUUGCUAUUGGAGAGAGCCUGCAGGAUGGAGACUGGGAGGCUGCCGCCAAGACCACCGACUUCUACCACAUGCUGGGCCGGGAGUGGGACAACCUGGGGCUGCAGAACCCAGAUCCAGCUGCUACAGAUGGAGGAACUAAACCAAAGAAACGACCUGUCCAGAUAAGACUGGACAAGGACCUCAGACAAGAAGUUCUGUCAAAGUGUUCUAACAAACCAGUGACCUCUGCGAUUCCACCUGAAGCCAGAAUGCAGACAUCUGUCUCAGUCCCUGUGGCUCCCAGGAAGGUCCGACGGCGGCCCUGGUCCUCUGCAGAGAAGGAGGCCAUCUGGAGGCAGUUAGGAGUCCAUGUUCUGGUCCAGUCCGUACCAGGUAAGGAGGUCUGUCAGCGCUGUCUGGACUUGGAACCUGUCCUCAGGGGGCGGCACUGGAAGGACAUCAAGAACCAGGUCCACAACCAAAUCCAGAGCCAAAAGAAGCAGCAGUUCCACGCUCAGAUGGAACUCGAGAAGAACCAGGAUCACCAAGACCAGCUCCAGAACCAGAAAAAGCCAGAGCAGCAGCAGUACCAGGCUCCAGUCGAUGAACAGGGAAAGGACCACCGUCUGAACCAGAAGAAACCACCAUACCAGUCCCAGAUGGACCAGCAUGAUCCGGAUAUUUCUCGGAAUCAGAAGAGAUCACAAUACCACAUCAACAUACACCACCAGGCCCAGGAUAGCAUCCAGAACCAGAAGAAACAACAGGAGCACACCCAGCUGGAUCACCAGGACUAUCUACACAACCACAAGAAGCAGCUGUGUACCCCUAGAGUGGACCACCAGGACCACAGCCAGGUCCAUAAGAAGCAGCUGUAUCAGAUGGACCAGCAGGCCCAGCCUCUGCAGACCCUGGACCAGGAAACAUCUCUUCUAACCAUCGCACCCUACAGACCUGAUGGGUCAAAUCGAGCCCCUGGACAUUUGCUGCUUGAGCGGGAGCACAACAUUACAACCUACCCAGUUCUGCACAGACCACCAGGACCUCACAUGGACCAGCUGCUGCCCAGAAUAGACUGGGCCGAGGAUGCUCCAGCCCAGAACUAUCCUAUCAGCAGGCCACUGGGCAGGAACCUGCUACAGGAUGUGCCCCCAGGAGGACCACCCUCUGACCCACAGUCGGGACAUGUACACUUCUGACCGACCAGGACGAGCGAUGGACGGUCCUGGUCCAGGUCUAGAGGACUUAAUGAUAGGUUGGCCCUUCUCAAAGGGUGCAUAUCAGAUUUGGUAGUAAAAAGACCUGCUUUUAUGAUAACACAUGUAAACCUUUCUUAGAAGGUCCUUGAAUUUCCUGUGUGAAAUGAGUAUUUGCCUCCUACAGGACUAUAUACCCCAUAUUAUAUACCCCCCUGUAUGUUCUGGCAGUUCCAAUGGAUCUGGUUCUGAUAUGUCAGUCUAGUCAGGAGAUCAACCUGGAUCCUGGUUGAGGUGCUGUUAGAUAGGUGAAACAGUUCAGCUGUGAUGCACCUGAGUUAUACCGACUACGUGCCAGUUCCUGAUCUUAUUAUAAAAGGCGGGUACCAAAAACCAAAACCAGCACCUUAGUGGUCCAGUGUUGGAGCCUUUGAAGAUACCUGUUCUGGGAGGAGCUCCUGCUGAAAGAUCACGGAUGGUAGUGUCAGUCAUCAGAUACUGUCUUCCAUAAUCGGAAUUUACCGGAAUUUAUUUCAUAUGAACCAGCCCACAGCUCUACUUCUUAAACCUGUAGAACUGUGGGCUGGUUCUCUGAAGGCACUGAGGCAGAACCAGCUCUGUGUUGGUGUGAAAGAGCUAAUGAAGGGAUCAAGGCCCUUUUCCCUCAUUUAGUCAUAAAGGUGUUCAAAGUUCUCUGUAUGUUUAGCGUAUGGUUCUCCUCACACUCCUCUGUGUGAUGAGCACUGGGGCACAACCCCUGACAGUGAGGCCAAACAGACUCCUCCAGGUGGUUCUAAAUGGUUCCUGCAGGUCCCUGUGAGUCCUGGUCUGUGGUGGUCCUGUGAUGGUACCACUGCAUCCUCAAACAUAACAAGUUGUCAUGUCACAGGUUUAUUCCAAAAUGGAUGAAAUUCAUUUUGACCUCAGUAUUCUACACACAGUACUCCAAAAAGGUUUGCUUAAAAUUCUUAAAAGAUUCAUUAAAACAUUAAAGAGAAAAAUAUAACACAUGCACAGGUAUUCUCAGCCUUUGUUAAAUACGUUGUUGAAGCACUUUUUGGCAGCAGUUACAGAAGAUGAACCUUCGCCCAAGUUCAAUGUCCAGCGCACUUUUGGACCAGGUUAUGUCUCUGUACAUUCAUCUUUUCCUUCAGAGGCCUUUGGGCAAACUCCAGGUGGGCUGUCGUAGCCUGGUUUCCUUACAGGGGUCCCCAAUCCCAGUCCACGAGGGCCGGUGUCCCUGCAGGUUUCAGAUGUGUGCUUGAUCCAUCACAGCUGAGUUAAAUGUAAAUUACAUUUUCAACAUGCCUUGGGCCUGGUAAUGAACUAAUCAUGUGAUUCAGGUGUGUUGACCCAGGGUGAGAUCUAAAACCUGCAGGGACACCGGCCCUCGUGGACUGGGAUUGGGGACCCCUGCUUUAGCACCUACUCGCCUGAGCCCGCGUUUGUUUGUGUCAUGUUCUAUUACAUUUGAGUUCCACCUCAAUAUGUGUGGGGUUGUCAUAGGAACACAACCAAAAUCCCAUGUGUCUAUGUGCCACAAACACAAUGGAGGACACUGAGGCGAUGGUAUACCCGCUGCUUGGUCUGUGGGUGUUUGUCAGACUCGAGGACCAUGAUUGUCAGUUUGUAUGUAACCAUUUCCCUUGUUGCCGAGUUUCAGAAAUGCCAGGUUUCAUCUAACUCGUGAUUCAUCUAAUGACACCUCUGGCUGGCCAGUCGGGGGCUUUUGAUGUCACAUUUUUAGACUGACUCUGCUCGGUUGGAAAGCCGGGCCAGCAUUUGCUAAAAAAGUACCUGGUACCAGGUACUACUCCCUGAUGGAAAACCAUAGAAACUAGGUUGAGCUCAGCCGAGUAGGUACUAGAUGAGGGGCGCAGAAGAUUGCCCAGAUUGCCAGACCAGAUUGGUCUCUAGGAAGAGACCCGGUGGUUCCAAAACUUCCUGUAUGGAUGGUGGAAGCCACUGUGCUCACUGGGUACGUCAGUGCUGAUCCCUGGAUCUGUGCCUCCAUACAGUCCCGCCUACAGACCUGCCUCUGACUUUGUGCUCUGUCAGUUAUGGGAGCUUAUACAGACAGGUGUGUGCCUUUCCAAAUAACGACCAGUCAGCUGAAAGGUGGACUCCAGGCGUGUUGUAGAAAUAUCUGACAGACGAUCAGUGUGCACAGCUGAACAAACAUGUGAGUGUCUGGGCUGUGAGUACUUCUGUCCAUGUUAUACUUUAGUUUUUUAUUUUCAGUGCAUGCACAAGAAUGUCAGCUGACUGUGUGCAGAGACUGUUUACUGUACUGUGUGCAGAGGUGAAAAUGAAUGUCAUGUUGGAAUAAGACUGUAACGUGACAACACGAGGAACACUGAAUGCUUCCAGGAUGAUCAUAGAUGAGAUCAUCUAUGAUGUUUCUGUGUCUCCUGCUCGUCUCCCUUUAAUCUGUGUUCAUCCACCCCUCAGUGUUUCUGCUGUCCUCUCCACUUCUUCAUGUCCCUGCAACUUCACUUUAUCACCACUAGAUGGCAGACCUCUCCCUGUUUCUGGUCCCUGUUAGAGGAUAAGAACAUGUUACAGUCCAGACUGCGAGCUGCUGCUUUUUCCUCCACAUGUCGCAUUUCUGAUGUCCUGUAGAGUCGCUGAUCCACAGGUGAUCGAUCCACAGCUGUGGCCUGCAGGAGGAACAUCAGCUCAGACACUGAAUGGCAGCAGGAGGCUCUGUGUGUGUUUAAUGUGUAAUAAAAGUGUCUGUAACUGUCUGUAUCCUGUGAUGGAGCCCUGUCAUACUCGGUCCUUUUAUUUCAUUAUAUCUGUUUCAAUAAACGAGUCCCCGCUCUGUGAAGGUUCAGACUCAUGUUCUUCAGUCUGGAGGAGACUUCAGCAGCUCUCUAACUGUGCUUCUGUAUUUCUUCAUGAGUUAAAGGUCCGCUGUUUAGACACACCUGGACAGGUUAAGAUGAUGUGCGGAGCAGAUGGAGAGACAGAUGCUUUUAUUUAUGCACAGGAAACGGAAUUCUAUUAUUCAUUAUGAUGAAGAUGAUGACGAUGAUGAUGGUGUGCCAUUAAGAAACAUGUAGAAUAUUCAUGAUAAAACCAAGUUUACCACAGAGACGAGGUCUGAGUUUGGACCUCAGCACGACUGUAAUAGAAGAAAGUUGGGUUUAAGUUACUGCAUCAUAAACUCAUCAUAAAUAAACUGUGUGUUAAUAAACCAGAACAUGAGGACCUGUCUCUGCUCUACUGUGAAGUCAAUCUGCAGAUUACCUGAAGGUUAAAACACACCUGAGGUACUCACAGAGAGGAUACAGCCAAUCAGGAGGGCCGAACACAGACCACAAAGCACAUGUUUCUGGUUUGUGAUUGGCUGAGCGGUCGACAGCCGUCGUGUUUAAACAGAC